Molecule: unclassified non-coding RNA, 405 nt
Filed under: Hevea brasiliensis (rubber tree)
Lineage: Eukaryota; Viridiplantae; Streptophyta; Magnoliopsida; Malpighiales; Euphorbiaceae
Source: RNAcentral
GUUCCGAUCCUUCACUUGGUCAAGAAUAAAUGAGAUGACACUAGACCUAUAUUGGCCAUCACUUUGGGUGCAGAUCAACAGAAGAAGAUCAUGAACUGGGAAAGCAAGAGGCUCCUUCACUUGCAAAAGCUUUAUGCAUGUUGAUAACAACUCAUCAACUGGAGGAAGUUGGGCAAUCUCUUCCUCAAGCUGUUGACCAUUGGCAUUUGCAUCCUCUUCCUUUAUAUCUGAUUCUGAGUUCCCCAGAGACAUGGCAAGUGCACGAGCAAGCUCAUCAUCUUCUUGAGUUUCCUCAGGGUGGGAAAAUAACCACUCCAUUGCCAAUUCCACACUAUUAGAUCCAACUUGCCUUAGAGCCUCUUCUGCCCUUGACCUGGAAAAACCCAUCUCCACAAUGGUUGAAAU